This 57-nucleotide transfer RNA is filed under the name Bos taurus (domestic cattle). It matches the Rfam family "tRNA", at positions 8 to 63 of the family's 71-position model. Rfam says of the family: Transfer RNA (tRNA) molecules are approximately 80 nucleotides in length. Their secondary structure includes four short double-helical elements and three loops (D, anti-codon, and T loops). Lineage: Eukaryota; Metazoa; Chordata; Mammalia; Artiodactyla; Bovidae. RNAcentral also lists the same sequence under 5 other names. The record is from Rfam by way of RNAcentral.
UAGCUCACUUGGUAAAGAAUCUGCCUGCAAUGCAGGAGACCCAGGUUUGAUUCCUGG